GACGAACGCUGGCGGCGUGCUUAACACAUGCAAGUCGAACGCUGAAGCUCAGCUUUUGUUGGGUGGAUGAGUGGCGAACGGGUGAGUAACACGUGAGUAACCUGCCUCCUUCUUUGGGAUAACGCCCGGAAACGGGUGCUAAUACUGGAUAUUCACUGGUCUUCGCAUGGGGGUUGGUGGAAAGGGUUUUUCUGGUUGGGGAUGGGCUCGCGGCCUAUCAGCUUGUUGGUGGGGUGAUGGCCUACCAAGGCUUUGACGGGUAGCCGGCCUGAGAGGGUGACCGGUCACAUUGGGACUGAGAUACGGCCCAGAGUCGUACGGGAGGCAGCAGUGGGGAAUAUUGCACAAUGGGCGCAAGCCUGAUGCAGCGACGUCGCGUGAGGGAUGGAGGCCUUCGGGUUGUGAACCUCUUUCGCUCAUGGUCAAGCCGCAACAAUGGUUGUAGUGAGGGUAGUGGGUAAAGAAGCGCCGGCUAACUACGUG
Molecule: ribosomal RNA, 483 nt
Filed under: uncultured bacterium
Lineage: Bacteria
Description: partial 16S ribosomal RNA
Rfam family: Bacterial small subunit ribosomal RNA
Source: RNAcentral